AUCUCCCUCCUUCUUCUCUCUGUCCUUGGCGAACGAAACAAAGUAGCACCUCCGACCCCCUGCCCGGAGCUCGGACCUGCAAAGUGGGUCAGGACUCGACUGAGCAUGCUCAGAACAGUGCCAGAAUGCUGCACGCGGCUGCAUCUUGUUGCCCAAGGUUGAUGUAGCUGCGCUCGCUAGUCACGACCUCGAAGAAGAGAACACUGAAGUGCAGAAGGAUAACAGAGAAGAGAUUUUACAGGCUUGUGGUGAAUAAACUCAAGAACCCAGAGAGAGCCUUGCAGUGAGCCCAGAUCCCCUUCACUGGCAGAUGGACUUUGCAACCCCAGGGACUAGAAAUUGAGCCCAUCACUAUUAACAUGACAGAAAUCAUCUGGAGGCUGGAGAGAAACGCCCCCAUGGGUCCUCCAAACAUUUGAAGAUUCUCCAGCUUUCCUCGUCCUACAGGCUUCAAGUGCCUGAAGUUUCUCAUGUUUGCCUUCUCUCCUCGGUGGGAUUGACAGCCAUUGUGUAAUCCAUGGGUUGAAGACUGAAGAGCAACAAGACGGAAGGAACUACAGUCUCUGAUUCACUGUUUGGACAGAGUUGCCUGCAGAUCACAUCUUUAAAAGUUUUAUGUGAGUCAGAAAUAAACUUUGAUUGCGUUAAGUCUUUGAGAAUGUUGUCUAAUACAAUCAUGAUAUUCAAAAGGAUUAUUACAUGGUAAAAAUCUGGGCACUGUUUGCUAAAGUAAGAUGAGUUGGGAGUGACAUGGUUUCGGCCAUUUUGGGGAAGAGAUUUCAAGGCAGAAGAUGGGUUUCUGUGUCCUGAGUAACAAUAAAAUGAAAACCAUCAUUUCUCCCAAUAUAGUGGAAAAGUUUGGGGAUGUAUUACAA
Prionailurus viverrinus (fishing cat) is the source of this 875-nucleotide long non-coding RNA. RefSeq lists it as uncharacterized. The record is from RefSeq and is a predicted model, not a curated record. The transcript has 5 exons. NCBI's taxonomy places the organism in Eukaryota, Metazoa, Chordata, Mammalia, Carnivora, Felidae.